GGCGGUUCUGCCGCCGCGAGCUGCAGGUCCCGGGCUCCGGCGUGCGGCGGCUGGAACAGAAGAGGGUGCUGCCGCCCCGGGCUGGCAGCGAGCUCCGCAGGUCGCCGCGGAGUAAACAUGAAGUUACCCCAGUAUGAAGGAGGAAGCCUUUCCCCAGCUUGAGACAUCUCAAUUUUUCCCUGAUAUAAAAAGAAGAGGCCAGAUACCAAUUUGUGUAAGACAGAUCUACUUGUUCUUUCUUCCUGGAUACUCUGUGAUCCCAGUAUGUUGA
This 271-nucleotide long non-coding RNA is filed under the name Apteryx owenii (little spotted kiwi). RNAcentral's name for it is "lncRNA (ENSAOWG00000001327.1)". Lineage: Eukaryota; Metazoa; Chordata; Aves; Apterygiformes; Apterygidae. The record is from RNAcentral.